Molecule: unclassified non-coding RNA, 292 nt
Filed under: Hevea brasiliensis (rubber tree)
Lineage: Eukaryota; Viridiplantae; Streptophyta; Magnoliopsida; Malpighiales; Euphorbiaceae
Source: RNAcentral
CCAAUUUUCACGCAGUGCUCGUAUGUAACCUUGCACAUUGCGACAUCGACUCAAUGUUCUGGCACCAGAAUGAGUUACCUUAUCUGCAUCACUCUGAGGUGCUCCUUCAACUGACCCAAAUUGAGGAGUUAUUUCUCCUGGCCGAGUCAAUUCAUUUGCAAGACUAUGUUGCCUCUCACAGGAGAAUCUUGUUCGUGGCCUGCGAAACAAUUGGUCAUCUGAUUCACGAACAAUAUCAAAAAUGGAAACAUCUGCCUCAUCCACUGCCAAGACAUUAGUGUUUCCUGAGGUG